This 497-nucleotide ribosomal RNA is filed under the name uncultured bacterium. RNAcentral's name for it is "partial 16S ribosomal RNA". It matches the Rfam family "Bacterial small subunit ribosomal RNA", at positions 28 to 507 of the family's 1533-position model. The record is from RNAcentral.
GAUGAACGCUGGCGGCGUGCCUAAUACAUGCAAGUCGAGCGAACAGACGAGGAGCUUACUCCUCUGACGUUAGCGGCGGACGGGUGAGUAACACGUGGAUAACCUACCUAUAAGACUGGGAUAACUUCGGGAAACCGGAGAUAAUACCGGAUAACAAGUUGAACCGCAUGGUUCAACAGUGAAAGACGGUCUUGCUGUCACCUAUAGAUGGAUCCGCGUCGCAUUAGCUAGUUGGUAAGGUAACGGCUUACCAAGGCAACGAUGCGUAGCCGACCUGAGAGGGUGAUCGGCCACACUGGAACUGAGACACGGUCCAGACUCCUACGGGAGGCAGCAGUAGGGAAUCUUCCGCAAUGGGCGAAAGCCUGACGGAGCAACGCCGCGUGAGUGAAGAAGGUCUUCGGAUCGUAAAACUCUGUUAUUAGGGAAGAACAAAUGUGUAAGUAACUAUGCACGUCUUGACGGUACCUAAUCAGAAAGCCACGGCUAACUACGUG